Molecule: non-coding RNA, 37 nt
Filed under: Blautia obeum
Lineage: Bacteria; Bacillati; Bacillota; Clostridia; Lachnospirales; Lachnospiraceae
Also listed under: 2 other names
Description: Selenocysteine insertion sequence 4
Rfam family: Selenocysteine insertion sequence 4
Source: RNAcentral
GGUACUUGUACACGUUGCGGUGCAACGAUGGUUAAAG